RNAcentral lists this ribosomal RNA (957 nucleotides) under Dracunculus medinensis (Guinea worm). RNAcentral's name for it is "16S ribosomal RNA". The record is from RNAcentral. Lineage: Eukaryota; Metazoa; Nematoda; Chromadorea; Rhabditida; Dracunculidae.
UAUUUUUUUAUUUUUAGUAUUUAAUUUUGCAUAUUAUCAUUGGAUUUAUUUUUUAUAUUUUUAAUUAAUAGAAUACAGGAGUAGAAUUUAAAAUUUUUAUAAGUGUUACAAAUUUAUUUUUAUUUAUUUUGGUGCUGAUAUAUCGUUCCUGUGGAUAUCUGUUUGUUUUUGUUGUUAUUGGAAAGCUUUAAAGUUUUUUAAUAUAUUUUUUAUUAUUUGUUGUUAGAGGUUCUUAUUUUUUUUGUUUUAAACGAUUUUUUUUAUUUGGUUGGAUGAUUUUUUUUGUUUCUAAUAAUUUUUUAUUAGAUUUAUAAUCAGUGAUUUAGUAAAUUUUCUUAAUAUUAUUUUUUUUAGUUUAAAGUUUAUGGGGAAUUAAGUGUCAUUUUAAAUGUUUUUUAAAUACUUAGGUCUUUUGAUUUGAUUGGCCUCUGCCCGAUGCUAGUGAGUGAAUGGCUGUCUUAGCGUGAGGACUAUAAGGUAGCAAAAUCAUUUGUUUUUUUAAUGGAUUCUGGUAUGAAUGGGGUUUUGAAGUGUAUCUAUACUUUUUUUUUUUUGAAUUAAUGUUGUUUUUAAUAAUUAUAACUUCUAAUUAUACAAAGAUAAGUCUUUGGAAAUUGUUUUAAAAAGAUUUGAUUUUUCGAUUUUUUUAUUUUUUCUGGGGCAGAUUUUUAGGUAAUUUCGUUAUCUAUUUAUAAUUUUAGUAAUUACUCCAGAGUUAACAGGAAAUUUUGUCUGUAUAAGUUCUUAUUUAUAGGCAGGUUUUACAUCGAUGUUGUAUCUUGGUUGGUUCAGGUGUAGGUUUUUGUAUUUUUUAGACUGUUCUUCUGUAAAUUAAUCAAACGUGAUAUUAGUUUAAUUCAUCGUGAGAUAGAGUGGUUUAUCUUGUUAAUUAGUUUUUUUAUUUAGUUAGAGUACGAAAGGAAAUAUCUUUUGAUUUUAAAUUUUUGUAAUUGGAAU